RNAcentral lists this ribosomal RNA (492 nucleotides) under uncultured bacterium. RNAcentral's name for it is "partial 16S ribosomal RNA". It matches the Rfam family "Bacterial small subunit ribosomal RNA", at positions 29 to 507 of the family's 1533-position model. The record is from RNAcentral.
AGUGAACGCUGGCGGUAGGCCUAACACAUGCCAGUCGAACGGCAGCACAGUAAGAGCUUGCUCUUACGGGUGGCGAGUGGCGGACGGGUGAGGAAUACAUCGGAAUCUACUUUUUCGUGGGGGAUAACGUAGGGAAACUUACGCUAAUACCGCAUACGACCUACGGGUGAAAGCAGGGGAUCUUCGGACCUUGCGCGAUUGAAUGAGCCGAUGUCGGAUUAGCUAGUUGGCGGGGUAAAGGCCCACCAAGGCGACGAUCCGUAGCUGGUCUGAGAGGAUGAUCAGCCACACUGGAACUGAGACACGGUCCAGACUCCUACGGGAGGCAGCAGUGGGGAAUAUUGGACAACGGGCGCAAGCCUGAUCCAGCCAUACCGCGUGGGUGAAGAAGGCCUUCGGGUUGUAAAGCCCUUUUGUUGGGAAAGAAAAGCAGCAGGUUAAUACCCCGCUGUUCUGACGGUACCCAAAGAAUAAGCACCGGCUAACUUCGUG